This 424-nucleotide ribosomal RNA is filed under the name uncultured bacterium. Its description in RNAcentral is "partial 16S ribosomal RNA". It matches the Rfam family "Bacterial small subunit ribosomal RNA", at positions 360 to 776 of the family's 1533-position model. The record is from RNAcentral.
AAUUUUGGACAAUGGGCGCAAGCCUGAUCCAGCCAUGCCGCGUGAGUGAAGAAGGCCUUCGGGUUGUAAAGCCCUUUUGUACGGGAAGAAAUCAUCCGGGUUAUUACCCUGGGUGGAUGACGGUACAGUAAGUAAAAGCACCGGAUCACUUCGCGCCAGCAGCCGCGGUAAAACGAAGGGUGCAAGCGUUAAUCGGAAUUACUGGUCGUAAGGCGUGAGUAGGUGGUUGUGCAGGUCUGUCGUGAAAGCCCGGGGCUCAACCUGGGAAUUGCGAUGGAUACUGGGCGACUGGAGUGCGGUAGAGGAUGGCGGAAUUCCCGGUGUAGCGGUGAAAUGCGUAGAGAUCGGGAGGAACAGCCGUGGCGAAGGCAGCCAGCUGGACCAGCACUGACACUGAGGCACGAAAGCGUGGGGAGCAAACAGG